UAACCGCGUCCAGGUCAAUUGUC
Molecule: unclassified non-coding RNA, 23 nt
Filed under: Mus musculus (house mouse)
Lineage: Eukaryota; Metazoa; Chordata; Mammalia; Rodentia; Muridae
Description: oocyte_clustered_small_RNA5549
Source: RNAcentral